AGGUCAUUUCAAAGAGAGCUGUGGAGCUGUGAAAGCGAGAGCUCUUAAUGCUACGAUAAAAAAUUGAAGUUCUCUGUGGAAUGCAAUAGUCACUCUAGAGCGCUAUGUUUUCCUGAGGAUAAAUAUGA
Molecule: small nucleolar RNA, 128 nt
Filed under: Prolemur simus (greater bamboo lemur)
Lineage: Eukaryota; Metazoa; Chordata; Mammalia; Primates; Lemuridae
Description: Small nucleolar RNA SNORA25 (ENSPSMG00000022515.1)
Rfam family: Small nucleolar RNA SNORA25
About the family: ACA25 is a member of the H/ACA class of snoRNA that guide the sites of modification of uridines to pseudouridines.
Source: Rfam by way of RNAcentral